RNAcentral lists this non-coding RNA (785 nucleotides) under Blepephaeus succinctor. The record is from RNAcentral. Lineage: Eukaryota; Metazoa; Arthropoda; Insecta; Coleoptera; Cerambycidae.
UUUAUGGACCUAAAGUUUUAUUAUUGUUUAAUAAAUUAGGUUAAAUUUGAUAUUUACAUGUAAAUUUUUAUAUAAUUUAAGCAUUAUUUUAAUAAUAAUGUUGAAAUUUUGUUCGCAGUAGAUAAUUUUAUAAAUUAAUGAAAGUUAGAUUUAGUUAAAAUUUUUAGUAUUAACAAAAUUUGUGCCAGCAGUUGCGGUUAUACAAAUAUUUCAACUUAAUUAAUUUUAGUAUUAAUAUGUUGAUUAUAAGUAAAUUUUAAAUGAAGUUUUAUUAGGUGAAAUUUUAAUUUUUAAACAAAUUUAUUUUUUUAGAUUAUUUGAUAGAUUUAAUAAGUAGACUAGGAUUAGAUACCCUAUUAUUAUAAAGGUAAAUUUUUUACUAGAUUAGUAUUAGUUAUGUUCUUGAAAAUUAAAGAUUUUGGCGGUUAUUUAGUCUAUUCAGAGGAACCUGUUCUGUAAAUGAUAGUCCACGAUUUAAAUUACCUUUUUUAUAAGCUUAUAUAUCGUCGUAACAGAAUAUUUUAUUAGAAUUGUAAUAUUCAAUAUUUAUUUUUUAAUGGAAAUCAGAUCAAGGUAUAGCGUAUAAGAAGGAAGAAAUGGGUUACAAUUAUUGUAAUAAAGGAUUGAUAGAUUGAGAAUUUUUAUGAAUUUGGAUUUGAAAGUAAUUUUAUAAAGAUUUUUAAAAUGAUUUUAGCUCUAAAUAAUGUACAUAUUGCCCGUCGCUUUCACCUUAAAGUGAAAUAAGUCGUAACAAAGUAGGCUUACUGGAAAGUGAGCCUAGAAAG